This 482-nucleotide ribosomal RNA is filed under the name uncultured bacterium. RNAcentral describes it as "partial 16S ribosomal RNA". It matches the Rfam family "Bacterial small subunit ribosomal RNA", at positions 30 to 507 of the family's 1533-position model. The record is from RNAcentral.
AUUGAACGCUGGCGGCAUGCUUUACACAUGCAAGUCGAACGGUAACAGGCCGCAAGGUGCUGACGAGUGGCGAACGGGUGAGUAAUGCAUCGGAACGUGCCCAGUCGUGGGGGAUAACUACUCGAAAGAGUAGCUAAUACCGCAUACGAUCUAUGGAUGAAAGCGGGGGACCGUAAGGCCUCGCGCGAUUGGAGCGGCCGAUGUCAGAUUAGGUAGUUGGUGGGGUAAAGGCUCACCAAGCCAACGAUCUGGAGCUGGUCUGAGAGGACGACCAGCCACACUGGGACUGAGACACGGCCAAGACUCCUACGGGAGGCAGCAGUGGGGAAUGUUGGACAAUGGGCGCAAGCCUGAUCCAGCAAUGCCGCGUGCAGGAAGAAGGCCUUCGGGUUGUAAACUGCUUUUGUACGGAACGAAACGGCUCUGGUUAAUACCCGGGGCUAAUGACGGUACCGUAAGAAUAAGCACCGGCUAACUACGUG